RNAcentral lists this ribosomal RNA (472 nucleotides) under uncultured bacterium. RNAcentral's name for it is "partial 16S ribosomal RNA". It matches the Rfam family "Bacterial small subunit ribosomal RNA", at positions 28 to 507 of the family's 1533-position model. The record is from RNAcentral.
GACGAACGCUGGCGGCGUGCUUAACACAUGCAAGUCGAACGCUGAAGCUUGGUGCUUGCACUGGGUGGGUGAGUGGCGCACGGGUGAGUAAUACGUGAGUAACCUGCCCUUGACUCUGGGAUAAGCCUGGGAAACUGGGUCUAAUACUGGAUACGACCUGUCACCGCAUGGUGGUGUGUGGAAAGGGUUUUACUGGUUUUGGAUGGGCUCACGGCCUAUCAGCUUGUUGGUGGGGUAAUGGCUCACCAAGGCGACGACGGGUAGCCGGCCUGAGAGGGUGACCGGCCACACUGGGACUGAGACACGGCCCAGACUCCUACGGGAGGCAGCAGUGGGGAAUAUUGCACAAUGGGCGAAAGCCUGAUGCAGCGACGCCGCGUGAGGGAUGACGGCCUUCGGGUUGUAAACCUCUUUCAGCACGGAAGAAGCGAAAGUGACGGUACGUGCAGAAGAAGCGCCGGCUAACUACGUG